UACGAAGGGGGCUAGCGUUGCUCGGAAUCACUGGGCGUAAAGGGUGCGUAGGCGGGUCUUUAAGUCAGGGGGGAAAUCCUGGAGCUCAACUCCAGAACUGCCUUUGAUACUGAAGAUCUUGAGUUCGGGAGAGGUGAGUGGAACUGCGAGUGUAGAGGUGAAAUUCGUAGAUAUUCGCAAGAACACCAGUGGCGAAGGCGGCUCACUGGCCCGAUACUGACGCUGAGGCGCGAAAGCUAGGGGAGCAAACGGG
This 253-nucleotide ribosomal RNA is filed under the name uncultured bacterium. RNAcentral describes it as "partial 16S ribosomal RNA". It matches the Rfam family "Bacterial small subunit ribosomal RNA", at positions 524 to 776 of the family's 1533-position model. The record is from RNAcentral.